UUUUUAAAUGAUUUUUGUUAAACCUUGAAUAUUUUGAAUUGUGCUGGGAUAGAUAUAUUUUAUAAUUUAGUAUCUUUUGCGUUAUUAAGCAACUUCUUAGUAUUUUGAUGGAACAAUGGUACCCUCCCCCAACCCUCGUCUAUGGAAUGACUUUUUUUCAGUUUUUGUCACAAAUUCUAUCAACUAGCAAUUUGGAUGACCAAGAAACUACAUCAGAAUGAUAGAUAAUGUAUAUAUAGGUUAGAACACUAACAACCUUUUGCCGACUAAAGGCUUGCGACUCGCCAGCAGAAGUGAGAUUGCUUCCUUGGUUCUCUCUCGUGUUCCGAGCUGACAUGAACUACGCUGGAUGCUGUGAAAAGUUCGCUAAAGAUGGCAUCAAAAUAUUAAAUCUAAUCGAAUGAGUUGCAAGUUAUAAGGAGAGAAAACAUUAUUACUUAGAAACAUCUAUCGAAACAUAUGCAGCAUUCCCAUCUCUUUCUCAACAUAAGAAUCGGCUGAAUCGAAAAACGGGCCAUUCUGACAUCAAUUUCUGUAAAGGGCCGAAUAAAUCAGACGCCACAGAAUGGAGCCAGCAUGCGAGAGCCUUCUGCAUGUAGCCGUCCUCCCCAGGAAAAUGUUGCCAGGCAAGUAACGAACCACUUAGUGCUAAAACAAGACAAGAAAUGUUUCCAGGCGAUGUGUAAGUGUCAUAUUUGCAGAGUGACUACUUCAGUUUCUGUCAGAUUCUCUAUCAGCAAUCUGUAUGAUGGCAAAUAUUUUCUCAUAAUGGUAUUAGU
Long non-coding RNA from Argiope bruennichi, 779 nucleotides. RefSeq lists it as uncharacterized. The record is from RefSeq and is a predicted model, not a curated record. Lineage: Eukaryota; Metazoa; Arthropoda; Arachnida; Araneae; Araneidae. The transcript has 5 exons.